ACGUGGUAUCCUGUCUGAAUAUGGGGGGACCAUCCUCCAAGGCUAAAUACUCCUGACUGACCGAUAGUGAACCAGUACCGUGAGGGAAAGGCGAAAAGAACCCCGGCGAGGGGAGUGAAAAAGAACCUGAAACCGUGUACGUACAAGCAGUGGGAGCACCCUUCGGGGUGUGACUGCGUACCUUUUGUAUAAUGGGUCAGCGACUUAUAUUCUGUAGCAAGGUUAACCGAAUAGGGGAGCCGGAGGGAAACCGAGUCUUAAUUGGGCGUUAAGUUGCAGGGUAUAGACCCGAAACCCGGUGAUCUAGCCAUGGGCAGGUUGAAGGUUGGGUAACACUAACUGGAGGACCGAACCGACUAAUGUUGAAAAAUUAGCGGAUGACCUGUGGCUGGGGGUGAAAGGCCAAUCAAACCGGGAGAUAGCUGGUUCUCCCCGAAAGCUAUUUAGGUAGCGCCUCGUGAAUUCAUCUCCGGGGGUAGAGCACUGUUUCGGCUAGGGGGCCAUCCCGGCUUACCAACCCGAUGCAAACUGCGAAUACCGGAGAAUGUUAUCACGGGAGACACACGGCGGGUGCUAACGUCCGUCGUGAAGAGGGAAACAACCCAGACCGCCAGCUAAGGUCCCAAAGUCAUGGUUAAGUGGGAAACGAUGUGGGAAGGCCCAGACAGCCAGGAUGUUGGCUUAGAAGCAGCCAUCAUUUAAAGAAAGCGUAAUAGCUCACUGGUCGAGUCGGCCUGCGCGGAAGAUGUAACGGGGCUAAACCAUGCACCGAAGCUGCGGCAGCGAACGUAUCACCCAAGACAACUUUGCGGAGUUGACGAUUGACGGAGCGAAGCGACGUCAAAGCGUUCAUUAAAGUCGAGUUGGCUUAGGGAUACGUUCGUUGGGUAGGGGAGCGUUCUGUAAGCCUGUGAAGGU
RNAcentral lists this ribosomal RNA (918 nucleotides) under Salmonella enterica subsp. enterica serovar Indiana. RNAcentral describes it as "partial 23S ribosomal RNA". It matches the Rfam family "Bacterial large subunit ribosomal RNA", at positions 424 to 1257 of the family's 2925-position model. The record is from RNAcentral. Lineage: Bacteria; Pseudomonadati; Pseudomonadota; Gammaproteobacteria; Enterobacterales; Enterobacteriaceae.